RNAcentral lists this transfer RNA (73 nucleotides) under Actinomadura montaniterrae. RNAcentral describes it as "tRNA-Arg". It matches the Rfam family "tRNA". From Rfam's summary of the family: Transfer RNA (tRNA) molecules are approximately 80 nucleotides in length. Their secondary structure includes four short double-helical elements and three loops (D, anti-codon, and T loops). Lineage: Bacteria; Bacillati; Actinomycetota; Actinomycetes; Streptosporangiales; Thermomonosporaceae. The record is from RNAcentral.
GCCUCUGUAGCUCAGUGGAACAGAGCACCGCGCUACGAACGCGGGAGCCCAGGUUCGAGUCCUGGCAGGGGUA